RNAcentral lists this ribosomal RNA (279 nucleotides) under uncultured bacterium. RNAcentral describes it as "partial 16S ribosomal RNA". It matches the Rfam family "Bacterial small subunit ribosomal RNA", at positions 506 to 784 of the family's 1533-position model. The record is from RNAcentral.
UGCCAGCCGCCGCGGUAAUACGGAGGGUGCAAACGUUGCUCGGAAUCAUUGGGCGUAAAGCGCGCGUAGGCGGCUUGAUAAGUCGGAUGUGAAAGCCCUCGGCUUAACCGGGGAAGUGCAUUCGAAACUGGCGAACUUGAGUACGGGAGAGGAAAGUGGAAUUCCGAGUGUAGGGGUGAAAUCCGUAGAUAUUCGGAGGAACACCAGUGGCGAAGGCGGCUUUCUGGACCGAUACUGACGCUGAGACGCGAAAGCGUGGGGAGCAAACAGGAUUAGAUA